GGAGUGGACGCUCAUGAGGUAGAGCACCCGGCUGUAACCCGGCGGUCGGCUAGUUCCGUGUUGGUUCGAAUCCAGCCCGCUCCACCA
This 87-nucleotide transfer RNA is filed under the name Candidatus Thiodiazotropha lotti. RNAcentral describes it as "tRNA-Tyr". It matches the Rfam family "tRNA". From Rfam's summary of the family: Transfer RNA (tRNA) molecules are approximately 80 nucleotides in length. Their secondary structure includes four short double-helical elements and three loops (D, anti-codon, and T loops). Further hydrogen bonds mediate the characteristic L-shaped molecular structure. tRNAs have two regions of fundamental functional importance: the anti-codon, which is responsible for specific mRNA codon recognition, and the 3' end, to which the tRNAs corresponding amino acid is attached (by aminoacyl-tRNA synthetases). tRNAs cope with the degeneracy of the genetic code in two manners: having more than one tRNA (with a specific anti-codon) for a particular amino acid; and 'wobble' base-pairing, i.e. permitting non-standard base-pairing at the 3rd anti-codon position. The record is from RNAcentral. Lineage: Bacteria; Pseudomonadati; Pseudomonadota; Gammaproteobacteria; Chromatiales; Sedimenticolaceae.